GUGUCUCUUUCUCUCUAAGAUAAACGACACAACCUAAUUU
Molecule: small RNA, 40 nt
Filed under: Arabidopsis thaliana (thale cress)
Lineage: Eukaryota; Viridiplantae; Streptophyta; Magnoliopsida; Brassicales; Brassicaceae
Description: ATSL176530
Source: RNAcentral